CUGGUCUUGACAUCCAUAGAAUUCUGCAGAGAUGUGGGAGUGCCUUCGGGAACUAUGAGACAGGUGCUGCAUGGCUGUCGUCAGCUCGUGUUGUGAAAUGUUGGGUUAAGUCCCGCAACGAGCGCAACCCUUAUUCUUUGUUGCCAGCGAUUUGGUCGGGAACUCAAAGGAGACUGCCGUUGAUAAAGCGGAGGAAGGUGGGGACGACGUCAAGUCAUCAUGGCCCUUACGACCAGGGCUACACACGUGCUACAAUGGCGUAUACAAAGGGAAGCGAAGGUGCGAGCUGGAGCGGAUCUCAUAAAGUACGUCUAAGUUCGGAUUGGAGUCUGCAACUCGACUCCAUGAAGUCGGAAUCGCUAGUAAUCGUAGAUCAGAAUGCUACGGUGAAUACGUUCCCGGGCCUUGUACACACCGCCCGUCACACCAUGGGAGUGGGUUGCACCAGAAGUAGAUAGCUUAACCGCGAGGGGGGCGUUUACCACGGUGUGAUUCAUGACUGGGGUGAAGUCGUAACAAGGUAACCA
RNAcentral lists this ribosomal RNA (527 nucleotides) under uncultured Enterobacteriaceae bacterium. Its description in RNAcentral is "bacterial SSU rRNA". It matches the Rfam family "Bacterial small subunit ribosomal RNA", at positions 975 to 1502 of the family's 1533-position model. Lineage: Bacteria; Pseudomonadati; Pseudomonadota; Gammaproteobacteria; Enterobacterales; Enterobacteriaceae. The record is from RNAcentral.